RNAcentral lists this long non-coding RNA (797 nucleotides) under Marmota monax (woodchuck). The record is from RNAcentral. Lineage: Eukaryota; Metazoa; Chordata; Mammalia; Rodentia; Sciuridae.
GCUCACCUCUCCCUUAUACCNUUUCAUAUAUCCUUCAUCUAGAAUCAUCAGUUAAUAUUUUAAAAAUAGUUGCCUCAAAUGUUUUGUUGUUGUUAUUAUAUUUUGUUGUUAUUAUAUUUGUUGAAUCAUUUGAGAAUUCGUUAUAGACAUUAUGAAUUCUUACCCCUAAAUGUAAACAUGUAACUCCUAAAAGUAAGAACAUUCUCUUAUCAAUACAGUAUCAAACUCAUGAAAAUUAACUUUGAUACAAUAUUACCAUCUACUAUACAACUCAUGUUCCAAUUUUUCCAAUUGUCCUUUUUAAAAGUUGAAUGCUUGCCUAGCACGUGCAAGGCCCUGGGUUCGAUCUUCAGCAUCACAUAAAAAUAAAUAAAUAAAAUAAAGGUAUUGUGUCCAAUUACAACUAAAAAAUAAAUACUAAAAAAGUUUUAAAAAAAAUACAGUUGGAGAAAAUACAUGAAAUUUAUCAUGUGUGAAUUUCAUCUCAAUAAAACAUUGUAAAAGUCAAUAAUCAUUAGGAGUAAGGCUGUGGUGAGCAUUGUCCUGCCAUGCGGAUCAUUUCUGAAAUUCUGUGUUCCUGUGAUGCAGUGAUGCUCAUCCACUGUUCUGUGGCCUGCUCAUCUUCCCAGCAGAAUGCUCUGGCUUCUUGUGGCAAUGGUUUCCAAGCUCCUCUCAGUCAUUUUAAUGGUCAUUUAGAAUUCCAUUAAAUAUCCCAGAAUAUGCUUAACUGUUUCCAACUAGUAGGUGGUUUGUACUCUUCACACCAUAAUAAAGAGUGCUAUGAUGAUUAUCCUUUA